GUAUCUGUCGUUGGCGGUGGUGAUGAUGUUGACGAGAACGACUGGAGCUUCAAUAAACCAGCUGGGGAGUCUGUACCUGAUUCAGCCACAGCGAUACGAAGUGGACCCGCAUGCAGGAUAUAGGAACCAGCGCGAUUUCGCAGGCAAGCACGGCGUCGGGGGAUACCGGCUGGUCGAGGCGCUUGGCAACGGACAGUAUCACAACUACAAGCAGCUUGCCCAAGGCCGUGAAACCUUUCCUACUAACUAUUAUUAUUAUUACAGAUAGGUUAUAAAUAUCUAUAUCUAUGAGAGUCUCAUGAGAUUAUACAAAUUGCAAUUUUAGUUUUAAAAAGCCAUAUCGACAUCUUUCCAAUUUUUAUAUCCUUCAAACGUAUGUAACUUGAUUUUUUAUUUCUUUCUAGCCUUUUCUAAAUGGCACAACUGCCCAAUUGCUCGGAAUUAGUAUCAGAUAGUAUUAAAUGACUCUAAAAUAGGAUAUCGCAUAUAUAUAUAUAUAUAUAUAUAUGUAUAUAUGUAUGUGUGCAGUGUGUAUGUCUGUGACUGUAUGGAUGUAUAGGCUAAAUUAACAAAGGGGCAUUAUACCAUGGAGUAAAAAAAAAAAAAAGAGAACAUCGCUCAACACAUUUUUAAUAACUAAGUUUGGGUCGCUCUUUUGAAAAAAAAAAAUUAUCUUACACUUUUUAAGCGCGGUGGCAUGAAUCAAAUAUGGUCUCUUAACCUCUAAAUAUUUUGCAGUAUAUAAUGACAUAGUCCUGAGAUUUUACAAAGAAAAUUAUCAAAAGAUUAUUUUAGUAUUUCCAGAGUCCAUGUAUAUCGCUUGAUGUGAGGGAUUCUCUUCAUCUGAAAGUGUUGAUAAGAAAACCCAUACAUUUGUCAAUUAAACAAUUCUAGAUAAAUUGUAUAAGAUAUAUAAAUAGCAAUGCUAAAAAAAUAGGGAUUUAUGAGGAUUCUAUACAUAAGAAAAAUAAUAUUUUACUUAGCUAACAGGAUACAGUGAAAUCCAACAAAGGUCCCCUUUAAUUAAACAAUUAAACAAAAAUGAGGUCAGGGAUGCAAAAGAGCGAACCUAAAGCCGCUUUUUCAUAUCAGUUGCCCAGCAAGUCAUUGUCAAAUUUGAUUUUUGAGCGAUGUGUUAUCUUUUGCGUAAUUUAUAAAUGUUUUAUAUGCUUCAAUGAAACGUUGGUAAUGUACAUACCUCCUUUGCUGCUUAUGUAACGCAGCGCCAUUAGUCUAAAAACAAAUAUAAAACAUUAUUACAAA
Penaeus chinensis is the source of this 1263-nucleotide long non-coding RNA. RefSeq lists it as uncharacterized. The record is from RefSeq and is a predicted model, not a curated record. The transcript has 2 exons. Lineage: Eukaryota; Metazoa; Arthropoda; Malacostraca; Decapoda; Penaeidae.